RNAcentral lists this ribosomal RNA (459 nucleotides) under uncultured bacterium. RNAcentral's name for it is "partial 16S ribosomal RNA". It matches the Rfam family "Bacterial small subunit ribosomal RNA", at positions 338 to 795 of the family's 1533-position model. The record is from RNAcentral.
CCUACGGGUGGCUGCAGUGAGGAAUAUUGGUCAAUGGUAGGGAUACUGAACCAGCCAAGCCGCGUGAGGGAAGACGGCACUAUGUGUUGUAAACCUCUUUUGUCGGGGAACAAAACCCGGGACGUGUCCCGGGCUGCGUGUAUCCGAAGAAAAAGCAUCGGCUAACUCCGUGCCAGCAGCCGCGGUAAUACGGAGGAUGCGAGCGUUAUCCGGAUUUAUUGGGUUUAAAGGGUGCGUAGGCGGUCCGUUAAGUCAGCGGUAAAAUCGCGGGGCUCAACCCCGGCGAGCCGUUGAAACUGGUAGACUUGAGUUGGCGAGAAGUACGCGGAAUGCGCGGUGUAGCGGUGAAAUGCAUAGAUAUCGCGCAGAACUCCGAUUGCGAAGGCAGCGUACCGGCGCCAGACUGACGCUGAGGCACGAAAGCGUGGGGAUCGAACAGGAUUAGAUACCCGUGUAGUC